Molecule: non-coding RNA, 199 nt
Filed under: Paramoeba aestuarina
Lineage: Eukaryota; Discosea; Flabellinia; Dactylopodida; Paramoebidae
Source: RNAcentral
UCUUCCCCUUUCUCUCUUUCCUUCUCCCCUUCUCCUUCUUCUCUCAAAAAGGGGGAGGAGGGAAAAGAAAGAGGGAGAAAUGUUGGGACAGAUGUCCAAAGUCCAUCUAAACGAGUGCGGAGAAUUGUAUCAUAGCGCAAAGAAUAUUUCAUUUCUCCUCUUUGUAUUAACUCAUUGCAAGUUUCAGUUAAAUUAAACA